UGUGGUCAUGCGAUGAUCCAGUUGUUUACACGCUAUGGCUGGUUCUGGAGGUUGGCCAAAUCAACACUCAGAAAUGUCGGAAUUUAGUGAUUUUGAAGGAGACGGAAAUUUUGGUGUUAAUUGUGAUUUCAGCAUAAAUGAACUUUCAGGAUUAGAUGAUCUGAUCACAAACUGUGAGCAGGAACUGUUUUCAAAAGCUGAUACACUCUUCUCAGAUGAUGGAAUUUUGUCGCAUUUGGCUGGCGAUCCUAUACCAAUGGAAGAAGAUGUGUCUUAUGAUUUCUUGAACCUGCCAAAUAAUUUGGUUGAACCUAAAGUAGAGCCUAAUGUUUCACCACAACACAUUAGAAACAACUCCGCAUCUCUGGAAGAACCAGUUCCAGUAGCUCUCACCCGAUCAUUACCAGUGAUUAAAAGUGAAAACAGGGUAACAAAUGCAAAUCCUUAUGCUCCACCAUCCAGUAACAACAAUCUCUCCAGUGCUCCACUUUCUUCACCACCCCAAGUUGUACCGAAACUAACAAAACCACCAGGAAAUGGAAAUGCAACAAAAGUUGUUUUGCAACCAACAACAAACUAUGUCUUACAACAGCCUCAACAAUAUAGAAACAUUCAGCCUAACCCAGGUCCACCGCAGUCGGCACCAAUUCAUGCCAACAAACCUGCUCAGCGCAAAGUCAAGUCUGGCGGAAAUGUUGUAACUGUACAGAGUAUGGGCCAGAUCCACGUUCCAGCAGAUCAGAUGAAACAGAUGCUGGUACAGGCUCAACUGAUCAAAUCCUCACCUGCAACCGUGAUGUACACUCCGGUGAACUCAGCCAAGACCGAUGGCAUUCCUGCAGCCACACCCAUUCAUGCUCUCAACGGAGCCUUUGUUACCACAGGUAUCCCUGUAGUUUUGGACCCUGACAAAUUACCAAUCAACCGUUUGGGUUCAGUGCCUGGUCAACCCAAGGUGCGGGAAGUAAAGCGCAGUGCUCACAAUGCUAUAGAACGGCGAUAUCGAACCAGUAUCAAUGAUAAAAUCAUUGAAUUGAAGGAUAUGGUCUGUGGUACAGAGGCAAAGUUAAACAAAUCUGCAAUUCUACGCAAGGCCAUUGAGUAUAUCAGGUUUCUGCAGACCUCCAAUCUUAAACUUAAGCAGGAGAAUAUGGCACUGAAGAUGAACGCUCAGAGACAGACUCUGCGAGACCUGCUGGUGCCAACUGUGCAGGAUGAGGAGGAUAUACCGGGUGGCAUCACCCCACCCCACUCAGACACACUGUCCCCACCCCACUCUGAUCCACCAUCCCCUGAAGACCAUGUCUAUAUCACUGAUCAAAUGAAGGAGUCAGAAGGUGUGUUCAGAGGCAUGCUGGACCACACACGCAUGGCUCUCUGUAUGUUCAUGAUAUCAGUGGUGGUGGUCAACCCGUUCAGUACACUGUUCCACCAGAUGCCGGCCCGUACAGACCAGUACAGUGGCUCUGGUCGCACCAUCCUGACCGUUGACAAUGGUGAGGGAACGUUCUGGCAGUAUGCCAGCUCCUCAAUGGCUCUGUGGUUGUUCAAUCUUCUUGUCCUAGUCUUUGGGCUGGUGAAGGUGUUUGUUUACGGUGACCCCAUCCUCGAGUCCAAGAGCAAGGCCUCAACAUUGUUUUGGCGACACCGCAAACAAGCAGACUUUGAUCUCUCCAAGGGCAACAACAGUGCGGCUUACAGAGAGCUGGUUACCUGUUUACAAGUGCUCCAGUGUCCACUGCCAGUGACAAGAUUGGAAGUGUGUAGUUCACUGUUCUGGCAACUCUCCCGUCAACUUCUGCACCGAUUGUACGUUGGUCGCUGGCUGUCCUCCUACACUGGUGGUCUGUUUGCUACACCGGAGUUGCGCAGUGAGGCACAGGCCACAUGUCAGCAGCUGUCACUGGUAUAUCACCGCCUACACCAGCUGCACAUGGUGGAGGGGGGCAGCUGGGGUGCUGGGGUUAUGUUAGCAGUGAUGUCAGUCAACCUAGGUGAGGCAGCUGGUCCAGUCAGUACCAGCCAACUAGCUCACUGUUACGUCAUGCUGGCCUUGCAGCUCAAACAGUGCCUGCCCUCCGUUCUGCAAUUCUUCUCCAGAUACUACUUGAGCAGUGGGCGAGCGUUCUACCAGAAGCAGCCAUGUAACCACCUACAGUGGUUGAUGAGUCCCUAUGGCUACAAGUAUUUCCUGAGCAACCAGUGGGGGUAUGGUCUUCCUCAGCCUACAGUCUUCACCAGUGUUACAGACCCCACAGAUCCUCUGUCGUUUGUUGCUAGGAUCUACCGAGAACACCUGCUGGAGAGGAUUUUAAAAGCAAUGGUGAUGCCAGGAGCAACCCAGGAAUCUACAGCAGAAGAGAGUUCCAUCAAACGCAGCCCAACACCUGAAGUGCUGAGUUAUAUCAAACUGCUGGCUGACUGUCAUUGCUGUGAGAGGUCUGCAUGGUGGGCAUCAUUACUACAGGUUGCUGCUCACUGGAUGCUGUCUGAAGAUGUUGCUGUGGAGAGACUGUACCCGCGAGUGGAGACCCCCCCUGCUCCCCAGGAGCCCCUGGUGCGCACGGUGAUGGCUGCCUAUUACAUGCACAAGGCAGCUCUCAGUAGUACACCUCCAUCCCCACACGCUCUCGUAUCACUGUGCAAUACUGCUAGCCAACUGCUGCAAGAGAGCCUCACAGUAGAUGCUUGCCACAAGCCUGACACCAAAGUUCUGAGUGACAGGAUAUUCAGAGUGGGUAAAAGGAGAUGUGGGCCGCCUCCUGUCAGGAUCCCAUGAGGAGGUACAGCAGGUGCUAUAGCAGCUGUGUUCCAGCCUCUCAGUCACAGUGGGCAGGGGGCAGCACUCCCUCUCAAGUCCAGGCUUGCAACAGCCUUUAACACUAAGGGGGCUCCAUCCCCUCCAACAGUCAUCCUCCGCAGUAGACCGGACCUAUUGAUUCAUCCUUUACACCUCAAUAUCCUCAACAUUUUCGUUGGCUCAACUGUUGGUGUGUGACUGGCUGCUGGAGACUCGCACAGCACUGUGGGAAGAGCAGGGAGGCAGUGCCCAGGGUCCUGUACCCAGUGAACAACUCUCCGGUUUCCAGGCAGACCUCUCUUCUCUCUGCAGGA
RNAcentral lists this unclassified non-coding RNA (3114 nucleotides) under Homalodisca vitripennis (glassy-winged sharpshooter). Its description in RNAcentral is "sterol regulatory element-binding protein 1, transcript variant X1". The record is from RNAcentral. Lineage: Eukaryota; Metazoa; Arthropoda; Insecta; Hemiptera; Cicadellidae.